UUGUCGAAUCCUCUGCGAUAGCAGAAUGACCCGUUAACACGUAAAAACACUGGGCAAGCGACGGGGGACUAGGGUUCCCUGUUUGCUAACCUCAGGCAGGUGUCCCCUAUAGGGUGUCCACCGGCCUACGAAAUAAACCGGGCGCGGAAUGCGCCAAGGAAAUCAAUACUGAAUUGUACGCACACUUCCCGUUCGCGGGCAGCGGCGUCAUUCCGAAACACAAACGACUCUCGGCAACGGAUAUCCCGGCUCUUGCAUCGAUGAAGAACGUAGCGAAAUGCGAUACUUGGUGUGAAUUGCAGAAUCCCGUGAACCAUCGAGUCUUUGAACGCAAGUUGCGCCCGAAGCCUGUAGGUUGAGGGCACGUCUGCCUGGGUGUCACGCAUCGUGUUGCCCCCGACCACACACUUCUUUUGGAUGUGUGGCGGUUUGGGGGAGGAUAUUGGCCUCCCGUGCCUUGUUGUGCGGCUGGCGCAAAAAUGAGUCAUUGGUGAUGGACGCCGCGACAUCGGUGGUUGUAAGAAGACCUUCUUGUCUUGUCGCGUGAAUGCCCGUCACCUUAGUCAACUCAAGGACCCUUAGGCGCCACAACAUGUGUGUGCUUCGAUUGUGACCCCA
Molecule: ribosomal RNA, 618 nt
Rfam family: 5.8S ribosomal RNA (bases 226-381)